This 83-nucleotide transfer RNA is filed under the name Clostridiales bacterium. RNAcentral's name for it is "tRNA-Leu". It matches the Rfam family "tRNA". Rfam says of the family: Transfer RNA (tRNA) molecules are approximately 80 nucleotides in length. Their secondary structure includes four short double-helical elements and three loops (D, anti-codon, and T loops). The record is from RNAcentral. Lineage: Bacteria; Bacillati; Bacillota; Clostridia; Eubacteriales. RNAcentral also lists the same sequence under 1 other name.
GCGGUCGUGGCGGAAUGGCAGACGCGUACGUUUGAGGGGCGUAUGGUAAUACCGUAUGGGUUCAAGUCCCAUCGACCGCACCA